This 2939-nucleotide long non-coding RNA is filed under the name Lactuca sativa (garden lettuce). RNAcentral describes it as "long non-coding RNA (LSAT_LNC010296)". Lineage: Eukaryota; Viridiplantae; Streptophyta; Magnoliopsida; Asterales; Asteraceae. The record is from RNAcentral.
UUUGAAGAACAUGUGUAUUUGGAGAAGAAACCAGCUUGGAGUAAAUAAAAUGUCACAUUCUGCAAUAAAAAAUUGUUUUCAAGACCUGUUGUCAUGGAAGGUUUGCAUGGGAGAACAACACAAUUUGGUUCUUACUGAAUUGAGGACAAUUCCUUUCGAAGAAGGAGGGAAUGAUACAUGUGUGGAAGUGACAAAUUCUGAAAAUGAUAAUGGUUACAAGGUGGAUUUGGGAGGAGACCAUGGAAUGCAUGCUACCUUUAAUGUGGGAGAGCUUUCACCUUAUCUUGAUGAUGAUGGACUUGAUGAAUUGAGGUCAAUUCCUUUCAAAGGGGGAGGGGAUGAUCCAUGCAUGGAUUAUGAAAGCCCAAAAGGUGAUGGAUUAGUGAUUACUAGUGGGCUAGAAGGUGGCUUGGGCUCAAUGGUUGGGUUAUGCAUGGUAACCCACAAAUUGAAUUAGGGUUGCAUGAAGGCUAGGGCAACAUUUUUAAGGAUUCAUAAGUGCUACAAACGUUACUUUUUGCUUCAUAAAGCCUCCUAGCCGUUUUUAUCACUCUUUGGUGCAUUAGGGUUACACUUUAAUGCUUCUGAUGGCUCAUUAAUGCUUCUUAUGGCUCCUUAAUGAAGCAUAGACGUUUUUUCUUCAUCCUCAAGUGUCUUGGACGUUUUUUUUGUGUUAUUUCAAGAGUUUCCUUAAUUUUCAUUUACUAGUUUUAAUGAAUAAUUGGUUGGUUGGCUUGUAACCACCAAAUUUGUAAUAAAGGCUUCAUAUAAAGCCAAGUUUAUGCAUGGAAAAAGGAAUAGACGAAUUUUUAAGAAAAAAACCUUUGUUCAAUUGGAAUUAUUGUUAUAAUUCACAAAUUAUCUUGUUAGGACGUGUUCUUGACUUGAUACGAACUCAAUCCAAUAGGUCUUGGAUUGUUUUCACCGGUAUACAACUUAAUAGGUCUUGAGUUGUUACUAAUCUAUCCAUUUCUUUCCAUUCAUAUAUCAUUUGUGGUUACUAUUCUCUCUUAAUUUACCUAAACACUACCCUACUCACCAAAUCAAGCCCAUACAUGCAUCAUAAGUGGUAUCAGAGCCUAGUUCCGAUUGGGUGUAACUAAGUUCUUGUUCUGAAUUCAGUUGUUGUCCAAAAAUGUUGCGCAAGCUAUAUGAUGAAGAAGAGGAGGUAGAAGAUUCUGGUCCCAUCUACGACACCGAUGGAGAAGGGGAAUUUUGUGAAAGAAUAAGUUUCUUGGUUGAAGAGGAAUUUAUUGAAGAACUUGACGAAGAAACUAAUUUCGUGAUCGGAGAUGAAUUUGUUGAAGCAAUUGUGGAGGAAAUCAAUUUUGUUGAUAUGGACAAAAUUAUUGAAGAAAUUGUGAUUUUUGUUGAACAACAAAUUUCAUUCCAAGAGCUUACAACCACGAGAACCAAUGACUAUAAGUGCCACAAAAGUUCAUGUUCUCAUAUCUUUUAUGAACAUAACUCCUUUUCUAAAGAUCUUAAAGAAAUCCAAAUUGGAAGCUUCAUUGAUCAAGAAGAUUUAUUUGUUUUUCAUCUUCAUGUUCGUUUCAAAGUGUGGGAAAUUUUUACACUUUGGAGACCAUGGAAUGCUUAUAUUUUACAUUUUGAAGACCUUGGUGAGAGGAGGAAGCAUGGUGAGAUGUUGGAUUUUACUAAUUAUGAUCUUAAUAAUGAUGUUUUUGUUUUGUCUUCAUUCAUUGAUCAAAAGGAGAAAAAUGACUUGCGUAUUACUUUUGAUAAAAAGUUUUGUGCAAUUAGAGAUGAAGACUUUUCAUUCGUGGCUCAAAAACAAGAAGACGAAUUAUUUUUGGAUGAUGGUAGAAUUUUGUACCCUCCAAAAGACGAUAUGAUGAUUUCCAAAACAAUAUGUGUUCAUGGUGGUAGCAAUCAGUCACCAAAAGAGGCAUUGUGUGGCAAUUCUUAUGCCAAUUUUCUAUGUUGUCCACAAACAAAACAUAUUUUCGUUAAUUCUUCAUUCAUUGUUCAAAAACACCAAGACCGAUGGCGUGAAGUUUAUUGGGAACGAAAGAAGAAGGAUGGUAUCCAUCUUUUUACAAACCAUCUUUCUAAGAGAAAAUAUGAAGAUACAAGUCCUAAUUAUUUACAUAGGAGGGAGCUCGUGAUGUUUGGACUGAUAUUCUUUUGGUGUCUCUUUAAUUGGGAAGUCGUGAUAUUGGGGCGUGCUGCUCAUCAACUUACAAAUACAAAUGAUGUUCCAUUUGUUAAAAUGACUGCAAUUAACCAUUUAAAUUAUUGCAAGGUUAAUUUGCAGGGUCGAGUUCAUGGGAAGGUACGAAAAUGGUUUUUGAUCCACAAAUUGAAGAUACGGUUAGGAUUCAAUUCUAUGAGUUCUUUGAGUUGUUUGAAGAACAUGUGUAUUUGGAGAAGAAACCAGCUUGGAGUAAAUAAAAUGUCACAUUCUGCAAUAAAAAAUUGUUUUCAAGACCUGUUGUCAUGGAAGGUUUGCAUGGGAGAACAACACAAUUUGGUUCUUACCGAAUUGAGGACAAUUCCUUUCGAAGAAGGAGGGAAUGAUACAUGUGUGGAAGUGACAAAUUCUGAAAAUGAUAAUGGUUACAAGGUGGAUUUGGGAGGAGACCAUGGAAUGCAUGCUACCUUUAAUGUGGGAGAGCUUUCACCUUAUCUUGAUGAUGAUGGACUUGAUGAAUUGAGGUCAAUUCCUUUCAAAGGGGGAGGGGAUGAUCCAUGCAUGGAUUAUGAAAGCCCAAAAGGUGAUGGAUUAGUGAUUACUAGUGGGCUAGAAGGUGGCUUGGGCUCAAUGGUUGGGUUAUGCAUGGUAACCCACAAAUUGAAUUAGGGUUGCAUGAAGGCUAGGGCAACAUUUUUAAGGAUUCAUAAGUGCUACAAACGUUACUUUUUGCUUCAUAAAGCCUCCUAGCCGUUUUUAUCACUCUUUGGUGCAUUAGGGUUAC